GAUAAUAUAUGGGAAUAUAUUAGCAACUAUGGCCUGCAUAAAGUCAGCAUUUAAUACAAGUGCUGAGUGAAUGCUUCCUCACCUGGGCUCCAGGAUCUUCAUUCCAUGGUCCCUGUGUCAGCCUGUGACAAGGUCUGCAACCUGAUCUCCAUCACUAUCAUCCAAGAAGGCCUUAUCUCUGAAUCUAAAGGAUCUUCUCUAAUUGUCUAGACUCUAGACAGACUCAACAAUUCACCAAGAAUCAAAGGUUUCCUCCAAAUUUCUGACUCUGUUUGCCAUACCCAGCACUCUACCAUGAAUUAGACCUCCUAUACCUGAUCAAUAAAUGAUUAUUCUUGCAGUCA
Long non-coding RNA from Myotis brandtii (Brandt's bat), 344 nucleotides. RefSeq lists it as uncharacterized. The transcript is spliced from 2 exons. The record is from RefSeq and is a predicted model, not a curated record. NCBI's taxonomy places the organism in Eukaryota, Metazoa, Chordata, Mammalia, Chiroptera, Vespertilionidae.